UACAGAGGGGGCAAGCGUUAUUCGGAAUUAUUGGGCGUAAAGGGCGCGUAGGCGGCCAUUCAAGUGACGGGUGAAAGCCCUCGGCUUAACCGAGGAACUGCCUGUCAGACUGGAUGGCUUGAGACCGGGAGAGGUGAGUGGAAUUCCCAGUGUAGCGGUGAAAUGCGUAGAUAAUGGGAGGAACACCAGUGGCGAAGGCGGCUCACUGGACCGGAACUGACGCUGAGGCGCGAAAGCGUGGGGAGCAAACAGG
This 253-nucleotide ribosomal RNA is filed under the name uncultured bacterium. RNAcentral's name for it is "partial 16S ribosomal RNA". It matches the Rfam family "Bacterial small subunit ribosomal RNA", at positions 524 to 776 of the family's 1533-position model. The record is from RNAcentral.